This 501-nucleotide ribosomal RNA is filed under the name uncultured bacterium. RNAcentral describes it as "partial 16S ribosomal RNA". It matches the Rfam family "Bacterial small subunit ribosomal RNA", at positions 29 to 523 of the family's 1533-position model. The record is from RNAcentral.
AUUGAACGCUGGCGGCAUGCCUUACACAUGCAAGUCGAACGGCAGCACGGGUGCUUGCACCUGGUGGCGAGUGGCGAACGGGUGAGUAAUACAUCGGAACGUACCUUAUCGUGGGGGAUAACGCAGCGAAAGCUGUGCUAAUACCGCAUACGCCCUGAGGGGGAAAGCGGGGGAUCGAAAGACCUCGCGCGAUUAGAGCGGCCGAUGCCUGAUUAGCUUGUUGGUGGGGUAAAAGCCCACCAAGGCGACGAUCAGUAGCUGGUCUGAGAGGACAAUCAGCCACACUGGGACUGAGACACGGCCCAGACUCCUACAGGAGGCAGCAGUGGGGAAUUUUGGACAAUGGGGGCAACCCGGAUCCAGCAAUGCCGCGUGAGUGAAGAAGGCCUUCGGGUUGUAAAGCUCUUUUGUCAGGGAAGAAACACCGGCUCUAACACAGUCCGGGAAUGACGGUACCUGAAGAAUAAGCACCGGCUAACUACGUGCCAGCAGCCGCCGUAA